GAAAAAUUUCCAGCCAUAUAAAUAAGCUAAGUUUACCUGUUAAAUUUAUUACAAGAUGUAAUUAAAUUCGAUCGCUAAAAGUAUGAUAUUUUUCUUAGAAAGUAAUAAAAAAAAAAAAAAACACGUACGUCUAAGUUAAUAUUGUACAACCAAUAACCAGUUGCGUAGGUGUGUAGACUAUAUAAAAUGGAAUUGUGAGAAGAUAAAUAUUAUUGGCUGUCAGCCACGAGAAAAAGGCUGACUCGGCAGCAAACCGAAACAGCUAGUAGAACAGGCAAACUGAGACUUCCUGUCGACGGAUCAGUGUCUGCAUUUUAUUGUUGAUUUAACCCUACAAGUGAAUGCUGAAAUAAAAAUUUAAAAUAUUUUAACAUGACUUCAAAAGCUAACAAAAAUUUUAAGCAUUCAUAUCGUAUUUAUUUAAAUGUUUAUCAAGAUUACUACAGUGUUUUUUUUUUAUGCCGCGUCGAAAUAAUUUUAUCUCGGAUAAUGCGAUUUAGAUACGUCCUAUUUAGUUUUAUAUAUCGAUAUUUUCUCAUUAUUAAAAAAAAAAACGAUAUUUGUAUUCUGUUUCGAAUGAAUCAUUUGUUUUGCCAGGCUUCCUGUCACGUAGACCUCUGUAGUAGAGUAACUUUGUGUGUUUCAAGUAACGAAUAACAGAUGGAGUGUUGAAAAUAGUAGAAGUGGAUGGAUGAAGGAAGAAAAAUUUUAUGCUAUUGUAAACUAUAUCGUGUGCGAUUCGAAAUCUUGA
Molecule: long non-coding RNA, 751 nt
Filed under: Androctonus crassicauda
Lineage: Eukaryota; Metazoa; Arthropoda; Arachnida; Scorpiones; Buthidae
Source: RNAcentral